CCCUUAGAUGUUCGGGGCCGCACGCGCGCUACACUGAAAGAAUCAGCUGGUAAGUUGCUCCUGGCUUGGAAACGUCGGGCAACCCGUUGAACCUCCUUCGUGCUUGGGAUUGGGGCUUGCAAUUAUUCCCCAUGAACGAGGAAUUCCCAGUAGGCGCGAGUCAUCAGCUCGCGUCGAUUACGUCCCUGCCCUUUGUACACACCGCCCGUCGCUACUACCGAUCGGAUGGUUUAGUGAGACCCUCGGACUGGUCCGCUGUCGGACAGGCAACUGUUUGCAGCGCGUGCGCCGGGAAGAAGGUCGAACUUGACUAUCUAGAGGAAGUAAAAGUCGUAACA
RNAcentral lists this ribosomal RNA (338 nucleotides) under uncultured eukaryote. RNAcentral's name for it is "partial 18S ribosomal RNA". It matches the Rfam family "Eukaryotic small subunit ribosomal RNA", at positions 1470 to 1796 of the family's 1831-position model. The record is from RNAcentral.